This 480-nucleotide long non-coding RNA is filed under the name Triticum aestivum (bread wheat). RNAcentral's name for it is "long non-coding RNA (TAES_LNC003881)". The record is from RNAcentral. Lineage: Eukaryota; Viridiplantae; Streptophyta; Magnoliopsida; Poales; Poaceae.
AGAAUACGCACCGCGUGCUCCUGUGGAGCGGAACGAGUCAAGCUAGAUUGAUGUCCAAGCCCUUUGUCGGACCGGUUAUUCCAAAUCCAGAAUAUGCACCUCGUGCUCCCGUGGAGCGGAACGAAGCAGACGAGGUUGAUGUCAAGCCCUUUGUUGGAGCAGUUAAUCUGAAUCCAGAAUAUGCACCUUUUACUUCGGCGGAACAGAAUGGAUGAAGCGAGAUCGAUGUCAAGCCGUCUCUUGGAGUGGCUUAACAACUUCGCGGCACUGUAUUUGAUUGAACUCAAUCCUGUGAUACAUUUACCUCUCUCAAAGUGGUACAGAAGCACAUGCAUUAGAUAGUUGCGCUUCUGUGACCACCGUGUGUAACUGAGUUUAGUCUUAGUUUCUUCUUCUUCUGUUGAUAGAGUGAACAUUGUACUCUUGGUUUUUUCUCCUGUUGAUAACUAUGUUGGCCAGCUGCAUAUAGGUUGAGUGCGA